AAGGGACUCAAGCAAUAAGAAUGA
This 24-nucleotide unclassified non-coding RNA is filed under the name Mus musculus (house mouse). Its description in RNAcentral is "oocyte_clustered_small_RNA11907". The record is from RNAcentral. Lineage: Eukaryota; Metazoa; Chordata; Mammalia; Rodentia; Muridae.